Molecule: transfer RNA, 88 nt
Filed under: Holophagales bacterium
Lineage: Bacteria; Pseudomonadati; Acidobacteriota; Holophagae; Holophagales
Also listed under: 1 other name
Description: tRNA-Tyr
Rfam family: tRNA
About the family: Transfer RNA (tRNA) molecules are approximately 80 nucleotides in length. Their secondary structure includes four short double-helical elements and three loops (D, anti-codon, and T loops).
Source: RNAcentral
GGGUAGGUGGCCGAGUGGUUAAUGGCAGCAGACUGUAAAUCUGCCGCGCUUAGGCGCUACGGGGGUUCAAAUCCCUCCCUGCCCACCA